This is a long non-coding RNA of Penaeus indicus, 517 nucleotides long. RefSeq lists it as uncharacterized. The record is from RefSeq and is a predicted model, not a curated record. The transcript is spliced from 3 exons. NCBI's taxonomy places the organism in Eukaryota, Metazoa, Arthropoda, Malacostraca, Decapoda, Penaeidae.
GAUCUAAAAUCCAGCACGUUAGGCAGGACAGGAAACGUAUCCCUCUGAAAUUCAGAUGUACCGAAGUGCCAAAUGAAAUUUUGCAACGGUUAAUAUAUGGAGAAAAUGAACUUUGCUAAACGGAUGGCAACCAUGGAACUAUAGCUCUCAAAAGACACGUAUAACAACAACAACAAUACAAUAGAGUGUGUAAAAAGCAAAUCCGUAUUUCAUACAAGAAUCAGUGCGACUGCGACUGGACUGUAAAAGCGAUAAACAAUCUGUAAAGAGAGGAAAGGAGGUUUCAACUCGUUUGCAUAAGACUAGCAUCCCCGACUCGCCAUGUCUAAAGGAAUACCAAGAUGGCUGUUGGUAUGCGCGGUGUGUGCCUGGGUUCUGGCUGGACGCAUCGAGGCUAAAAGUACAACCUCUUGCAAAGACAACUGUAAGGUAAUCUGUGAUAACACGAGUACAAACUACAUGCCUCAGCGUUGCACCGAUUGUUGUACGGAAGAGGCCAAGGCAGGGAAGUCAAGAC